This 490-nucleotide ribosomal RNA is filed under the name uncultured bacterium. Its description in RNAcentral is "partial 16S ribosomal RNA". It matches the Rfam family "Bacterial small subunit ribosomal RNA", at positions 29 to 507 of the family's 1533-position model. The record is from RNAcentral.
AGUGAACGCUGGCGGCAGGCCUAACACAUGCAAGUCGAACGGCAGCACAAGAGAUCUUGCUCUCUGGGUGGCGAGUGGCGGACGGGUGAGGAAUGCAUCGGAAUCUGCCCAUUUGUGGGGGAUAACCUCGGGAAACCGGGACUAAUACCGCAUACGUCCUACGGGUGAAAGCAGGGGAUCUUCGGACCUUGCGCAGAUGGAUGAGCCGAUGCUGGAUUAGCUAGUUGGAGGGGUAAAGGCCCACCAAGGCGACGAUCCGUAGCUGGUCUGAGAGGAUGAUGGGCCACACUGGAACUGAGACACGGCCCAGACUCCUACGGGAGGCAGCAGUGGGGAAUAUUGGGCAAUGGGCGCAAGCCUGAUCCAGCCAUGCCGCGUGUGUGAAGAAGGCCUUCGGGUUGUAAAGCACUUUUGUUGGGAAAGAAAAGCAGCCGGUUAAUACCCGGUUGUCAUGACGGUACCCAAAGAAUAAGCACCGGCUAACUUCGUG